GACGAACGCUGGCGGCGUGCUUAACACAUGCAAGUCGAACGGAAAGGCCCCUUUGGGGGUACUCGAGUGGCGAACGGGUGAGUAACACGUGUGUAACCUGCCCUUGACUUCGGGAUAACUUCAGGAAACUGGGGCUAAUACCGGAUAGGAAUCCUUGCUGCAUGGUGGGGGUUGGAAAGCUUCGGCGGUUUUGGAUGGACUCGCGGCUUAUCAGCUUGUUGGUGGGGUAGUGGCUUACCAAGGCUUUGACGGGUAGCCGGCCUGAGAGGGCGACCGGCCACAUUGGGACUGAGAUACGGCCCAGACUCCUACGGGAGGCAGCAGUGGGGAAUAUUGCACAAUGGGCGGAAGCCUGAUGCAGCAACGCCGCGUGCGGGAGGACGGCCUUCGGGUUGUAAACCGCUUUCAGCAGGGGCGAAGCUUGUGGUGACGGUACCUGCAGAAGAAGCACCGGCUAACUACGUG
RNAcentral lists this ribosomal RNA (465 nucleotides) under uncultured bacterium. RNAcentral's name for it is "partial 16S ribosomal RNA". It matches the Rfam family "Bacterial small subunit ribosomal RNA", at positions 28 to 507 of the family's 1533-position model. The record is from RNAcentral.